Long non-coding RNA from Bombus pascuorum, 973 nucleotides. RefSeq lists it as uncharacterized. The transcript is spliced from 3 exons. The record is from RefSeq and is a predicted model, not a curated record. NCBI's taxonomy places the organism in Eukaryota, Metazoa, Arthropoda, Insecta, Hymenoptera, Apidae.
UUAACACUAGAACUACCGAUAGUUAACACGAAGCUAUUUCUACCAAAACCAAUCAAAAUGACUGGUCUUUAAAAAAUACAUAAUAACAGAAUAUUUUUAUAUUUAUUGAUUUAUUACUUUCUUACAGAAGUAAUUCCAUGUUAUGUAGUACAUUUUUGGUAUUAUUAAACCAUCUGGGACCAUCAUCCCUAAACGAUGGUUGACAUAUUUAUAAAAUUGUAGAAUCAGUUGUUUUAACUGGUGUGAUAUUUCUAGUGUUAGCACCUAGCGAUCUAGCGAUCGAUCCGGAAUUUUCCUGAUAACUGAUAUCAUCAUAUUGAAUGAUACGCAGUAAAAAUUGUAAAAACGUGUUGGAAGUUGUACAAAACGAGGAAAUUGGUUAAUUGUGGUUCGAUAAACAAAUUGCACGACCCUUUUAUACUUUGACAGGCACCAGUACUUUUCACUGGUAUUGGUAUAAAUAGCCUUGAUACAAAAUUAUUUCGAGUUUGAAUACAUAAAAAACAAAAUAAAAUUCAUUAUAUUAUUCUUUUAGUUAUCGUUAUAUAACAUGAAGUAGGAAUUUUAAAAUAAAAUUGUAAAACCAGUCAAUUUGACUAGUGUGGUAGUUCUAGUGUUAAAAUGCUUUACUUAAUCUUGAUUACUUUGCAUUUAACAAUAAAAUGGUCAUAAAUUUUAUUGAGGGUGUCUUUUCGUUUCGUUUCUACAUUAUGAAGUAACCACGAAGCGUUUCUACCACCCUGAGAGAUGGUAGAUGAAAUCUAGGAGAAAAUUUUAGAUCAAUGAGGUGAAAUUUAUCUUACUAUUGGACUAUGAAAAUCUAAAAAAGAAACUUUUCAAAUUAAACAAUAAUAUCUCGAAUCAAUAACUUUUAUGACAAAAGUUAUUUUUACUGUCGAAUAGCUCUUUUCAAUCUCUCGCGCCUUUUAUUGAGCGAGGUGAUUUGGAGUUUCAUGGAUGCCAGCCUAUGUAA